CGACUGGAAACGGUCGCUAAUACCCCAUAUGCUGGGAAGUGAAAAGGUGAAUUCCGCCUGAGGAUGAGCUCGCGUCUGAUUAGCUAGUUGGUGGGGUAAGAGCCUACCAAGGCGACGAUCAGUAGCUGGUCUGAGAGGAUGAUCAGCCACACUGGGACUGAGACACGGCCCAGACUCCUACGGGAGGCAGCAGUGGGGAAUUUUCCGCAAUGGGCGAAAGCCUGACGGAGCAAGACCGCGUGGGGGAAGAAGGUCUGUGGAUUGUAAACCCCUUUUGACCGGGAAGAAUACUGACGGUACCGGUCGAAUCAGCCUCGGCUAACUCCGUGCCAGCAGCCGCGGUAAUACGGAGGAGGCAAGCGUUAUCCGGAAUUAUUGGGCGUAAAGCGUCCGCAGGUGGUUUAUCAAGUCAGCUGUUAAAGCGUGGGGCUUAACUCCAUACCGGCAGUUGAAACUGAUAGGCUAGAGUGCGAUAGGGGCAAGGGGAAUUCCCAGUGUAGCGGUGAAAUGCGUAGAUAUUGGGAAGAACACCGGUGGCGAAAGCGCCUUGCUGGGUCUGCACUGACACUGAGGGACGAAAGCUAGGGGAGCGAAAGGGAUUAGAUACCCCCU
RNAcentral lists this ribosomal RNA (612 nucleotides) under Leptolyngbya copelandii NK1-13. RNAcentral describes it as "bacterial SSU rRNA". It matches the Rfam family "Bacterial small subunit ribosomal RNA", at positions 147 to 790 of the family's 1533-position model. Lineage: Bacteria; Bacillati; Cyanobacteriota; Cyanophyceae; Leptolyngbyales; Leptolyngbyaceae. The record is from RNAcentral.